CAUCAUGAAUCGAUGAUUAUGGAUGUCUUUAGAAGGUCCCUUGAAGCUGCAUAAGCAUCCGGCCUCUAUAGGUAUCCACAUGAGACCUUGAUCUGAUCAGAAGCUUUUUGAUCUCAUCAGGAUGCUAGCUCUCUUACAGAGAUCGCAUCUUGAUGGUUGAACAAGACUCUUCUUUUCUCUUAAGAUCUUCUUAGAGAAGAAGAAGAAUAAU
This 211-nucleotide long non-coding RNA is filed under the name Elaeis guineensis (African oil palm). RNAcentral's name for it is "long non-coding RNA (EGUI_LNC018353)". The record is from RNAcentral. Lineage: Eukaryota; Viridiplantae; Streptophyta; Magnoliopsida; Arecales; Arecaceae.